Pseudonaja textilis is the source of this 171-nucleotide non-coding RNA. The record is from RefSeq and is a predicted model, not a curated record. Lineage: Eukaryota; Metazoa; Chordata; Lepidosauria; Squamata; Elapidae.
AGGAGAAAAACCAUAUGAAUGUCCAGAUUGUGGGAAAAGUUUCAGUCAAAUUCCAGCCUUGUGCACCACCAGAAGACUUACACAGGAGAGAAACCUUUUGAAUGUCCAGAGUGUGGGAAAAGUUUGAGUGAUAAUUCCAACCUUGUGAAACACCAGAGGACUCACACAGGA